UCCCAGGUGGCUCAGACAGUAAAGAACCUGCCUACAAUGCAGGAGACCCAGGUUUGAUCCCUAGGUUGGGAA
This 72-nucleotide transfer RNA is filed under the name Ovis aries (sheep). It matches the Rfam family "tRNA". Rfam says of the family: Transfer RNA (tRNA) molecules are approximately 80 nucleotides in length. Their secondary structure includes four short double-helical elements and three loops (D, anti-codon, and T loops). The record is from Rfam by way of RNAcentral. Lineage: Eukaryota; Metazoa; Chordata; Mammalia; Artiodactyla; Bovidae.